GCAAGUCUGGUGCCAGCAGCCGCGGUAAUUCCAGCUCCAAUAGCGUAUAUUAAAGUUGUUGCAGUUAAAAAGCUCGUAGUUGAAUUUCGGGAUCAAUAUUUCGGUCAUGCCGUUGGUAUGCACUGUUAUCAUUGAUUUCUCACCUUCUAAAGAACCAUAAUGCCAUUAAUUUGGUGUUACGGGGAAUUAGGACUGUUACCUUGAAAAAAUUAGAGUGUUUAAAGCAGGCUCACGCUUGAAUACAUUAGCAUGGAAUAAUGAAAUAGGACAUCCGAUUCUAUUUUGUUGGUUUCUAGGAUCGAUGUAAUGAUUAAUAGGGAUAGUUGGGGGCAUUAGUAUUCAAUUGUCAGAGGUGAAAUUCUUGGAUUUAUUGAAGACUAACUACUGUGAAAGCAUUUGCCAAGGAUGUUUUCAUUAAUCAAGAACGAAAGUUAGGGGAUCGAAGACGAUCAGAUACCGUCGUAGUCUUAACCAUAAACUAUGCCGACUAGGGAUCGGAUGAUGUUAAUUUUUUAAUGACUCAUUCGGCGCCUUACGGGAAAC
RNAcentral lists this ribosomal RNA (543 nucleotides) under uncultured Glomeromycotina. Its description in RNAcentral is "SSU rRNA". It matches the Rfam family "Eukaryotic small subunit ribosomal RNA", at positions 555 to 1098 of the family's 1831-position model. Lineage: Eukaryota; Fungi; Glomeromycota. The record is from RNAcentral.